Molecule: ribosomal RNA, 502 nt
Filed under: uncultured bacterium
Lineage: Bacteria
Description: partial 16S ribosomal RNA
Rfam family: Bacterial small subunit ribosomal RNA
Source: RNAcentral
AUUGAACGCUGGCGGAAUGCUUUACACAUGCAAGUCGAACGGCAGCAUAGGUGCUUGCACCUGAUGGCGAGUGGCGAACGGGUGAGUAAUAUAUCGGAACGUGCCCAGUCGUGGGGGAUAACGUAGUGAAAAUUACGCUAAUACCGCAUACGAUCUAAGGAUGAAAGCGGGGGAUCGCAAGACCUCGCGCGAUUGGAGCGGCCGAUAUCAGAUUAGGUAGUUGGUGAGGUAAAGGCUCACCAAGCCAACGAUCUGUAGCUGGUCUGAGAGGACGACCAGCCACACUGGAACUGAGACACGGUCCAGACUCCUACGGGAGGCAGCAGUGGGGAAUUUUGGACAAUGGACGCAAGUCUGAUCCAGCCAUUCCGCGUGCAGGACGAAGGCCUUCGGGUUGUAAACUGCUUUUGUACAGAACGAAAAGGUCUCUAUUAAUACUAGGGGCUCAUGACGGUACUGUAAGAAUAAGCACCGGCUAACUACGUGCCAGCAGCCGCCGUAA